Molecule: ribosomal RNA, 253 nt
Filed under: uncultured bacterium
Lineage: Bacteria
Description: partial 16S ribosomal RNA
Rfam family: Bacterial small subunit ribosomal RNA
Source: RNAcentral
GACGAACCGUGCGAACGUUGUUCGGAUUCACUGGGCUUAAAGGGCGCGUAGGCGGCUCGCCAAGUCAGGGGUGAAAUCUUUCGGCUCAACCGGAAAACAGCUUCUGAUACUGGCGGGCUGGAGGGAGGUAGGGGCGGAUGGAACUUCCGGUGGAGCGGCGAAAUGCGUAGAUAUCGGAAGGAACGCCGGUGGCGAAAGCGAUCCGCUGGACCUCCUCUGACGCUGAGGCGCGAAAGCCAGGGGAGCAAACGGG